GGAAACGGCUGCUGUAGUCAUGGCAACAAAAAGAAGGCUGGCGAGCUCGGGUUUCAUCCACGCCUUUGUCUCUGGUCUAUAUCAGGCUACCAAGUGACGUGUGACUUUGUGAACUCAAAGGUAUCGUGCGUCAAAUGAGCCGGGAUUGUUUUUGUCUCAUUCCUCGGUUAACUGAGUCAUGAAGCGGCUGAAUUCACAAGUGAGGCGGAUGAAGUGGCACUCAAAGCUGCAAUGCUUUGUGUUCAUGACAAUGUCACAGUGAGGCAGGAUGCACAACACCAGGAAGGUGAAACUGAAGCAGCAAAAUGGAAUACAGCCAUCAUUCCUGUUUAUUAUGUACACGUGUGCUUUUCCCGCUGUGACCUGUCAAACUGUCCUCUGUGAAAAAGGCCUAUUGUUUUUGCUGCUGACAAAAAUACACACAAUACAUAACACAUGUACACUCACACUGAAGAACCCUACCAAGAUUUGAAAAGCCUCAGUGAGAUACCUUCAUCACUUGUUUGUAUUUAUUUAUGUAUUUAUUGUGUGUGUGUGUGUGUGUGUGUGUGUGUGUGUGUGUGUGUGUGUGUGUGUGUGUGUGUGUGUGGUUUGUCCACAAAAGAAAUACCUUUUUUAUUCAUCUUUGUAUUAUUUAUUUUCUUAUUUAAAUUUGCAUGCUAAAGCCAAAAAGAGCAGCUGUGGCUUAAAAAAGGCUCGAUCCCACCCUUAUGUUGCUCCUCCUGUCCACAUGUUGAAGUGUCCCUGAGCAAGACGCUGAACUCCAAAUGGCUCCAGAUCUUCAGACCAGCACCUUGCAUGGUACUUGGUGUGUAUGUGAAUUGAUGAAUGAGAGGCACAUUGUAUAAAAGCAUUAUGUAAGCACAGUCCAUUCACCAGAAAUACACAAAAAUACAAAUAUAUGGAUUAAAUAGAUGAUCUCAGUGUCACCACUUGUAGCUACAGCCCUGGCUUCAGAACUGUUGAAAUAUUAUUACCUAGGGAUCAAAAACAUGAAUAUGCAUAUCUAGACAUGUGCUUUGUUGUCAUAACCAAAUGACAUGUAUUCAAAGUAGUGCAGUGAAGGUAUCAUUGUUUGGAGGUCAGCUGUUGAUAUACUGCCAUAAAUGAGGUUUAACAGUAGCUUACUGUCCCAAGCACACAAACAGCUUGUCACUGGCACCUCACAUGGCCUGCCAGUGUUUGAAGCUAAUGGGAUCGUGUAGCCUCAUCAGGGACGUGAAUAAUAGAAAUGUCUAAAUCUUGAACAGAGGAUAAACAGGCUUCAGACUUCAGUGCAAUACAAAAGCGUACAAAGUCAUGAAAAAGUAAAAAGGUGGAGCACUUUGAAACCCAGUAAAUAAAGAGCUUCAUAACAGCGACAAAUUUAUGCACAUUUAUGAUUCAAGUUUUAUGUCAGCUUUUACUCAGUACCCAACAUGACAGAUAUACAAAGCCAGUUUUGUUUUUGUUUUGUCUUUGGCAGUAGAGAUGUGCAGUAACAGAUUAAGUGAAUCUGUAAAGCUGAAGUCAUAACGAGAUAUCAGUCAUUAUCAGGAUUACAAUCAUACAAAUUAGCAUGCAGCACAUUACACAAUUCCUUAUGUGAGCUCAUGUAACUGCAUCCAAAUAGUCGAUUGCGUCCAUUCCUGAGACACUGUCUCAGUACUGAGCUGCCAAAUAUUUGUAGUGCAAAUAGUGAAAUUAAAGCCCCUAUAUGUAAGAUCUGAUAAUGUCAGACUUUGGUGUCUCUUAGUAGUAUCAGAAAACAUUAUUUUUUCACUUGUUUUAUUUGCGGUUUCCGUCUCUUAACUUUGGUUGUUGUUGCCAAAUAUAGUAAAUAAAAGAACACAAUUGCGUAGGAGAAACUACGGAGGCCAUGUAAUGCGCAAAAAAUGCAAAGGGCCUAUCUAGAGUCACUGUUUGAUUUGUCUGUUCUGGGCUACUGUAGAAACAUGGUGGUUCAAUAUAGUGGACUCUGUGGACGAGGACCAGCUCAAGGUGACGAAAACACAAUUUUCAGGUGAUUAUCCACUAAUGAUAUAUACUAUUGAGAUGUCAGGGGGUCUGUCACAAUGUCGGUAUUUGAUGCCCUGGGAAUGAAAACAGGCUACAUUUUCAUAUUUGAGCUCCUAUAUUCUCCUUCAUUCAGUCAUUCUGUCAAAAGCUAUAGCUUCAUAAAAUAACUCCUUAAAAUUGAGUAGUUUUAUACACCAUCAACAAAUUAAAUUUGUUUAUAAUCCAUCCUAACUUAUUAAUUAAUUCUUAAUGACAUCAGCAUACAAAUAAAAAAAUAUGCUGGUUUUAUUUUAAUUUUCAAAACAAACAGAACAAACGGGAUAUUGUGUUUUCUUUGGAUGAAGGAAAGGAGGCACUGAAGCUGAAGGAGUAUUUAACUGCUUAUCUUGAUUGCACAAUACUGUAGAUACAAAUCAAUUUGUUUAGGUUUUCAUUAAAAAGACACCUGUAGUAGAGAGAUUAAUGAGCAUACAAAAGGAUGUCACCUUUCAUUUAAUAAACCUGGCCCAAACAUGUAUUCAUUCAUAUGUAUCUUACAUUUUUUCAUACACAUGGAAAAUGCAUGAUUCAGAAUACAUACAUUAUACAUGUGUAUAUAUAUAUAUACACAUAGGCCUACAGAGUGAGAGAGAGAGAGAGAGAGAGAGAGAGAGAGAGAGAGAGAGAGAGAAUAAAUAAUUGAUUCAUUCUUUUUGGUGCUGAAUAGCAACAUAACUGCAUAAAUCCUAUUUGCAUUUGCUGCAUAGCUCUUAUAUUUGACAAUCCAAACAGACAGCUUGUAAUGAAACUACAGUAACAGUUUACAUUCAGUAUACUGACAAUCCAGAAAAUAAGUGUGUAAAAUGGAAUACAUUAAAGCUGCCUUUUGCCUAUUUUUAGCACUUAAAUAAUUCUCCUAUAGACAUGGGAGACUGAUAUAACAGAUAUAAGUACAACAGAACAAAGUAGAAGCAUUAAAAUCACCAGAAUAUGAGGCUUUUCACUCAAUGACAAUAUAAUUUACCAAUGUAUGAUUUAUAAUUUUGUGACAUUAGGAUAUGCUCACUCUGAUAUUGGAUAGACAAAAUGAGUGUGAAUAUGUGGAAAUGGACAAGCCUUUUCAGACAUCUGAGGCUGCUGGCUUUUUUUUUAGGAAGCCAAUUUGGAAAAUGGCUGCGAAAGGGAACAUGAAACAGCUAAAAUGCCAUAAUGGGUCUGCACUUAUAUGAAUCUUAUGAAACAUCCUUUGAGCUAUUAUUGCAUUUAAGGUUAAUUCAAUCUGAUUAGAAGCAAACACAGAAAAACAGGUCACACUGUGGAUGCUUGUUUGUCUGUGCCUGGUUUGAAAUUAGAAAUGUGUUUCAAGAUAUUUUCAUAAAAAGUGAAAAACAGUGUUUUCAUGCUGUUACAAGCAGUUUACAGCUGUUUAGAUUUAUGUUUCAAUUUCACAAUUAUAAUUCUGAAUUAAAGUUUUAUGUGAAGAAUCAAAAUGUUUUAUUCCAGUAAGUUCUCCAAAAUGAAGCUCUCAGAUGCUCUGCAUAAACAUUAGAUUUGAUGAGUGUUUUCCUGGUAUGCUGAAGACUCUGUGGCUCAAUCUGAACAGAAACACUUUGCAAGUCUUCUGAGAGACAUAAUGAAAAACUCAAACUGUGUUUGCGCUCACUUAUUUCCUCAGUUGAUCAUAAAAAGUGCAUCAUUUCUACCAAGUCAAAUCCUGUGGUUUUUCUCGGGAGGUUUUAAUGGUUUUUGACUCAGAGUCAGUGAAAAUGAAAUUUAGCAGUAAAUUGCCUCUAGAAGACAUAUUCAUCUGGGUAACAACAUGUAAUUACACUCAAGGUGUUCUCUGUUUCAUAACAUGCUUGUGAAAUUUUAAUAACAGCUGGCUGCAUACUAAUUCAGUCGACUUUCUGGAGGUGUUCAAUACAGGAACAAUGUGUACAUUUAAAGUUAAAAACAAAAAGCAAGCCCCUAUUUUAACAAAAGAACAUGGCUUCAGGUUAUCCAUGAAAAUAAAUGUGUUUUUCCGACAGAAA
Molecule: long non-coding RNA, 4010 nt
Organism: Dicentrarchus labrax (European seabass)
Lineage: Eukaryota; Metazoa; Chordata; Actinopteri; Moronidae
Exons: 2
Source: RefSeq, a predicted model, not a curated record